AGAGGGGUGAGCUACUAGAGCCCAGUGAGCAGAAUAAUAAAACAUAGUAUUUAAAACAUAUGAUAUCAUGAAAUGCAUCACAGCACAAACAUUUCACAUCAAGGAUGAACUUGUCACCACUAAGCCCUCUAUACAGUCUAAUUAUGCCAUGGGCGUAGUGCAGGCUCGCCUGGACUUCCAUAGCAUACCAUACAUAUCCAGUCAUGCUGGGGGCGUAGUGCAGGCUCACCCGGACUUCCGUAGUCUGUCAUGUCAUACCAUAUAAGGGCUAAUGGAUCAUUCAACAUUCAUCCACAUCAACAGCAUAGUGUGCAAUGCAACAUAUUCGUGAAUUCUAAUGCAAGCACCCU
Molecule: long non-coding RNA, 350 nt
Filed under: Manihot esculenta (cassava)
Lineage: Eukaryota; Viridiplantae; Streptophyta; Magnoliopsida; Malpighiales; Euphorbiaceae
Description: long non-coding RNA (MESC_LNC011409)
Source: RNAcentral